UUCCGGUUGAUCCUGCCGGACCCGACUGCUAUUUGGGUGAGGAUAAACCAUGCGAGUUGUAUGGGAUACCUAAAUUUCCCAUAGCAAACUGCUUAGUAACACAUGAUCAACUUACCCUAUGGAGAAAUAUAACCUCGGGAAACUGAGGAUAAUGCUUCAUAGUUGAAUAGGCUUGGAAAAGUUUUUCAAUAAAAGGGAUAAGAAAAAUGGUUCUUAUCUGCCAUAGGAUAGGAUCGUGCUCGAUUAUGGUUGUUGGUGAGGUAACGGCUCACCAAGCCGAUAAUCGAUAGGGGCCGUGAGAGCGGGAGCCCCAAGAUGGGUACUGAGACAGCGACCCAGGCCUUACGAGGCGCAGCAGGUACGAAACCUCCGCAAUACACGAAAGUGUGACGGGGUUACCCAAAGUGUUCUUAUAGAACUGUGGCAGGUGAGUAAUGUCCCCUGCUAGAAAGGAGAGGGCAAGGCUGGUGCCAGCCGCCGCGGUAAAACCAGCUCUUCAAGUGGUCGGGAUAAUUAUUGGGCUUAAAGUGUCCGUAGCCGGUUUAGUAAGUUCCUGGUAAAAUCAGGUAGCUUAACUAUCUGUAUGCUAGGAAUACUACUAUACUAGAGGGCGGGAGAGGUCUGAGGUACUACAGGGGUAGGGGUGAAAUCUUAUAAUCCUUGUAGGACCACCAGUGGCGAAGGCGUCAGACUGGAACGCGCCUGACGGUGAGGGACGAAAGCCAGGGGAGCGAACCGGAUUAGAUACCCGGGUAGUCCUGGCCGUAAACGAUGCAUACUAGGUGAUGGUACGGCCAUGAGCCGUGUCAGUGCCGUAGGGAAACCGUUAAGUGUGCCGCCUGGGAAGUACGGUCGCAAGGCUAAAACUUAAAGGAAUUGGCGGGGGAGCACCACAAGGGGUGAAGCCUGCG
RNAcentral lists this ribosomal RNA (911 nucleotides) under uncultured archaeon. Its description in RNAcentral is "bacterial SSU rRNA". It matches the Rfam family "Archaeal small subunit ribosomal RNA", at positions 1 to 899 of the family's 1478-position model. The record is from RNAcentral.